AGUUUUGCACAAAGGCAGUAUCACAGUCAAUGAGGUUUGUCUGAGGAAUGACUAUUGCUAAUUGAAAACUUUCCCAAAAUAAAACAGACUUAUAUGUUUCACUAUUUAUGACAUUUCAGUGUAUUUGUCACUCUUCAAGGUAGAUGUCAUAUGAAAAGA
This 159-nucleotide small nuclear RNA is filed under the name Dipodomys ordii (Ord's kangaroo rat). RNAcentral's name for it is "U4 spliceosomal RNA". It matches the Rfam family "U4 spliceosomal RNA". From Rfam's summary of the family: U4 small nuclear RNA (U4 snRNA) is a component of the major U2-dependent spliceosome. The record is from Rfam by way of RNAcentral. Lineage: Eukaryota; Metazoa; Chordata; Mammalia; Rodentia; Heteromyidae.